This 254-nucleotide ribosomal RNA is filed under the name uncultured bacterium. Its description in RNAcentral is "partial 16S ribosomal RNA". It matches the Rfam family "Bacterial small subunit ribosomal RNA", at positions 524 to 776 of the family's 1533-position model. The record is from RNAcentral.
UACGUAGGGGGCAAGCGUUGUCCGGAAUCAUUGGGCGUAAAGAGCGUGUAGGCGGCUCGGUAAGUCCGCUGUAAAAGUCAAAGGCUCAACCUUUGAAUGUCAGUGGAUACUGCCGGGCUAGAGUCCGGAAGAGGCGAGUGGAACUCCUGGUGUAGCGGUGGAAUGCGCAGAUAUCAGGAAGAACACCCGUGGCGAAGGCGGCUUUCUGGGACGGUACUGACGCUGGAGACGCGAAAGCGUGGGGAGCGAACAGG